Molecule: ribosomal RNA, 301 nt
Filed under: uncultured bacterium
Lineage: Bacteria
Description: partial 16S ribosomal RNA
Rfam family: Bacterial small subunit ribosomal RNA
Source: RNAcentral
CAGUCGCCACGGGAAUACGUAGGUGGCAAGCGUUGUCCGGAAUUAUUGGGCGUAAAGGGCUCGCAGGCGGUUUCUUAAGUCUGAUGUGAAAGCCCCCGGCUCAACCGGGGAGGGUCAUUGGAAACUGGGAAACUUGAGUGCAGAAGAGGAGAGUGGAAUUCCACGUGUAGCGGUGAAAUGCGUAGAGAUGUGGAGGAACACCAGUGGCGAAGGCGACUCUCUGGUCUGUAACUGACGCUGAGGAGCGAAAGCGUGGGGAGCGAACAGGAUUAGAUACCCCUGUAGCCCCUGUCUCUUAUAC